This 499-nucleotide ribosomal RNA is filed under the name uncultured bacterium. RNAcentral's name for it is "bacterial SSU rRNA". It matches the Rfam family "Bacterial small subunit ribosomal RNA", at positions 899 to 1397 of the family's 1533-position model. The record is from RNAcentral.
ACUCAAAGGAAUAGACGGGGGCCCGCACAAGCGGUGGAGCAUGUGGUUUAAUUCGAAGCAACGCGAAGAACCUUACCAAGGCUUGACAUGGAAGCGGCCGGCAUAGAAAUAUGCCCUCCCCUCGGGGCGCUUCACACAGGUGGUGCAUGGUUGUCGUCAGCUCGUGUCGUGAGAUGUUGGGUUAAGUCCCGCAACGAGCGCAACCCUUAUGUUCAGUAGCCAGCACGUUAUGGUGGGCACACUGGAGAGACUGCCGUGGAUAACACGGAGGAAGGCGGGGACGACGUCAAAUCAUCAUGCCCCUUAUGUCUUGGGCGACACACGUGCUACAAUGGCCGCUACAAAGUGACGCAAACCGGCGACGGGGAGCAAACCACAAAAAGGCGGCCUCAGUUCGGAUUGUAGCCUGCAACCCGGCUGCAUGAAGUUGGAAUCGCUAGUAAUCGCGAAUCAGCAUGUCGCGGUGAAUACGUUCCCGGGCCUUGUACACACCGCCCGU